UCAGGCAUUAUGAGGUGUAGCGUAUAAGCGUAACUUUGAUCUUUUGUCUCAAACAAGUCCCCUUGACAGGGUUCCACAGAAGGUGCAAGUCCUGUACUUGAGAUAAUUGAUCGAUAUUUGCGUGCUUUAGAGUCGGGUUGUUUGGGAUCGCAGCCCAAAGUCGGUGGUAAACUUCAUCUAAGACUAAUAUUGCCACGAGACCGAUAGCAAACAAGUACUGUGAAGGAAAGUUGCAAAGCACUUUGAAGAGAGAGUUAAAGAGGACGUGAAACCGGUAGGUGGAAACGGAUAGAGUCGGCGUAUCUUCAAUAUUCAUUACAUUAUUUUUAUGUUGUGACUCUGAGCUCCAGAUUGGGACAGAGGGAACAGCAUAAUUUUUGUGUGCAUUUACUUGUUGGUGCUUGGGGAUGUUUGAGGCAGAUUUGUUCCGCGUUUUGAGGCCAGCUUGCUGGUACCCAAACGGUGUUAGCAUUUUUUGUCUUGGCAUUUGAGUAUGGCUCACGUGAUUUAUUGGGAUCUGAGUGUAAGUUACGGUCGCAUGCGACACGUGCUUUUCAAUUAGUUCGGUCCAGUUAAUGCUCUCGUACUCGUUCCCCAUGUAAAAGCCGGUCAUCUAUCCGACCCGUCUUGAAACACGGACCAAGGAGUUUAUCGUGUGCGCAAGUUUUUGGGUGUUAAAAACUUAAAAGCGAAAUGAAAGUAAAUGACUCUUUAGAGUCUGAUGUGCGAUCUUGUAAAAAAG
RNAcentral lists this ribosomal RNA (742 nucleotides) under Meloidogyne incognita (southern root-knot nematode). RNAcentral describes it as "LSU rRNA". It matches the Rfam family "Eukaryotic large subunit ribosomal RNA", at positions 129 to 753 of the family's 3401-position model. The record is from RNAcentral. Lineage: Eukaryota; Metazoa; Nematoda; Chromadorea; Rhabditida; Meloidogynidae.